Molecule: transfer RNA, 74 nt
Filed under: Anabaena sp. UHCC 0451
Lineage: Bacteria; Bacillati; Cyanobacteriota; Cyanophyceae; Nostocales; Nostocaceae
Also listed under: 4 other names
Description: tRNA-Pro
Rfam family: tRNA
About the family: Transfer RNA (tRNA) molecules are approximately 80 nucleotides in length. Their secondary structure includes four short double-helical elements and three loops (D, anti-codon, and T loops).
Source: RNAcentral
CGGGAUGUAGCGCAGUUUGGUAGCGCACUGCGUUCGGGACGCAGGGGCCGCUGGUUCGAAUCCAGUCAUCCCGA